This is a non-coding RNA of Picea glauca (white spruce), 122 nucleotides long. Lineage: Eukaryota; Viridiplantae; Streptophyta; Pinopsida; Pinales; Pinaceae. The record is from Rfam.
UUUUAUGUACAUGCCUACAAUGUUAAUUCAUUGGAUCCCAUCAUAACUUUGUAGUUAAGUUCUUUUAGGAUAGAGUAGUAUUGGGAUCGAUGACCUCUCGAGAAGUUCUAGUGUCUUAAAAG